GGGGAUUUAGCUCAGUGGUAUAAGCACCUGCCUGGUAAGCACAAGGUCAUGAGUUCAAUCCCCA
RNAcentral lists this transfer RNA (64 nucleotides) under Cavia porcellus (domestic guinea pig). It matches the Rfam family "tRNA", at positions 1 to 62 of the family's 71-position model. From Rfam's summary of the family: Transfer RNA (tRNA) molecules are approximately 80 nucleotides in length. Their secondary structure includes four short double-helical elements and three loops (D, anti-codon, and T loops). Lineage: Eukaryota; Metazoa; Chordata; Mammalia; Rodentia; Caviidae. The record is from Rfam by way of RNAcentral.